UACCAGCACCCCGAGUGGUCGGGACGUUUAUUGGGCCUAAAGCAUCCGUAGCCGGUUCUACAAGCCUUCCGUUAAAUCCACCUGCUUAACAGAUGGGCUGCGGAAGAUACUAUAGAGCUAGGAGGCGGGAGAGGCAAGCGGUACUCGAUGGGUAGGGGUAAAAUCCGUUGAUCCAUUGAAGACCACCAGUGGCGAAGGCGGCGAGCUGGUCCAUUACUGACGCUGAGGCGCGACAGCGUGGGGAGCAAACAGG
This 253-nucleotide ribosomal RNA is filed under the name uncultured bacterium. RNAcentral describes it as "partial 16S ribosomal RNA". It matches the Rfam family "Archaeal small subunit ribosomal RNA", at positions 474 to 727 of the family's 1478-position model. The record is from RNAcentral.